GAAGAGGCAGUCCAGCAUAUAAUACGUGGGCCAUGAUUUUGCUAUGCAGAUCUGAAGCAGCACCUUGUGUAACACAAGAUUCUUAAGUGCCAUUUGUUAAUGUCUGGUUUCUAUUGCUGGCUCGUGACAAAGUGACAGUGAGAAGUCGAGUAUCCUAGGCAUGUGAAAAUUAGGCAUCUUCAAGUACUAUCGGUAACUGCUGACGAGUUUCUUGUUUCCGGAACGCAGUGAUAAUGUGAAAAUUAAAACUACGAGAGCAAUCGGGAGGGAAGUGGAGGGAGAGUGCAAGUCCCAGUAAACAGUUGAUCUCCAAGCUUAUCCAAGUGCUCCUUAAUUUCACAUGGGGUAAGGUACCUUGCGAUAGCAGCUGGGUCCCAGGUGGAAGGGACUGCGUCGACGAUGUGCGACGAGAGGGCGAGCGGCUGCGAAUCGAGGCGGAGGUUGAAGAGGGAGAUGAAGUAGCCAUCCAAGGCCAAGCACUUGGUCUUUGCAGCAUCUUGAGCCCAUGAGCUCCCAUCAAAGAGGAACAUGGAGUUAAAUAAACCUGAUGGUAUCUUUCCACUCAAUGAGCUCCUUUGGUUGAACAACUCAGACAUCUGCAUGGUGAUUAAUAAGAAUGUAGUACUACUAUUAAUUUACCUUACUUGAUGUGUCCAUUAAUUAACACAAUGUUACUCAAAAAAAAAUGUUAAUCACAUUAGGUAAACCAGGUGAAGUACUAGUUGAGAAUGAUAUGUAAUGAUCAACCACUCCCAUCUAUAUAUAUAUAUAUAUAGUACAUUUAGGUGGCCUAUUUAUUACCAUCUGUUUACUGCAAUUCUAUAUGCUUAUAUUGGUCAAGGUGCAGUUACCAUAAA
This is a long non-coding RNA of Ananas comosus (pineapple), 857 nucleotides long. RefSeq lists it as uncharacterized. The record is from RefSeq and is a predicted model, not a curated record. NCBI's taxonomy places the organism in Eukaryota, Viridiplantae, Streptophyta, Magnoliopsida, Poales, Bromeliaceae. The transcript has 5 exons.